This 254-nucleotide ribosomal RNA is filed under the name uncultured bacterium. RNAcentral's name for it is "partial 16S ribosomal RNA". It matches the Rfam family "Bacterial small subunit ribosomal RNA", at positions 524 to 776 of the family's 1533-position model. The record is from RNAcentral.
UACGGGGGGAGCAAGCGUUGUUCGGAUUUACUGGGCGUAAAGGGCGCGUAGGCGGUCAGCACAAGUCAGUUGUGAAAUCUCCGAGCUUAACUCGGAAAGGUCAACUGAAACUGUGCGACUAGAGUGCGGAAGGGGCAACUGGAAUUCUUGGUGUAGCGGAGAAAUGCGUAGAUAUCAAGAGGAACACCUGCGGCGAAGGCGGGUUGCUGGGCCGACACUGACGCUGAAGCGCGAAAGCCAGGGGAGCGAACGGG